UUGGCCGGGCGACGGUUGUCCCGGUUUAAGCGUGUAGGUGUGUGUUCCAGGUAAAUCCGGUUCACUUUAACACUGAGGCGUGACGACGAGGCACUACGGUGCUGAAGCAACAAAUGCCCUGCUUCCAGGAAAAGCCUCUAAGCAUCAGGUAACAUCAAAUCGUACCCCAAACCGACACAGGUGGUCAGGUAGAGAAUACCAAGGCGCUUGAGAGAACUCGGGUGAAGGAACUAGGCAAAAUGGUGCCGUAACUUCGGGAGAAGGCACGCUGACACGUAGGUGAAGUGAUUUACUCAUGGAGCUGAAGUCAGUCGAAGAUACCAGCUGGCUGCAACUGUUUAUUAAAAACACAGCACUGUGCAAACACGAAAGUGGACGUAUACGGUGUGACGCCUGCCCGGUGCCGGAAGGUUAAUUGAUGGGGUCAGCGCAAGCGAAGCUCCUGAUCGAAGCCCCGGUAAACGGCGGCCGUAACUAUAACGGUCCUAAGGUAGCGAAAUUCCUUGUCGGGUAAGUUCCGACCUGCACGAAUGGCGUAAUGAUGGCCAGGCUGUCUCCACCCGAGACUCAGUGAAAUUGAACUCGCUGUGAAGAUGCAGUGUACCCGCGGCAAGACGGAAAGACCCCGUGAACCUUUACUAUAGCUUGACACUGAACAUUGAGCCUUGAUGUGUAGGAUAGGUGGGAGGCUUUGAAGUGUGGACGCCAGUCUGCAUGGAGCCGACCUUGAAAUACCACCCUUUAAUGUUUGAUGUUCUAACGUGGACCCGUUACCCGGGUUGCGGACAGUGUCUGGUGGGUAGUUUGACUGGGGCGGUCUCCUCCUAAAGAGUAACGGAGGAGCACGAAGGUUGGCUAAUCCUGGUCGGACAUCAGGAGGUUAGUGCAAUGGCAUAAGCCAGCUUGACUGCGAGCGUGACGGCGCGAGCAGGUGCGAAAGCAGGUCAUAGUGAUCCGGUGGUUCUGAAUGGAAGGGCCAUCGCUCAACGGAUAAAAGGUACUCCGGGGAUAACAGGCUGAUACCGCCCAAGAGUUCAUAUCGACGGCGGUGUUUGGCACCUCGAUGUCGGCUCAUCACAUCCUGGGGCUGAAGUAGGUCCCAAGGGUAUGGCUGUUCGCCAUUUAAAGUGGUACGCGAGCUGGGUUUAGAACGUCGUGAGACAGUUCGGUCCCUAUCUGCCGUGGGCGCUGGAGAACUGAGGGGGGCUGCUCCUAGUACGAGAGGACCGGAGUGGACGCAUCACUGGUGUUCGGGUUGUCAUGCCAAUGGCACUGCCCGGUAGCUAAAUGCGGAAGAGAUAAGUGCUGA
RNAcentral lists this ribosomal RNA (1309 nucleotides) under Salmonella enterica subsp. enterica serovar Paratyphi A. Its description in RNAcentral is "partial 23S ribosomal RNA". It matches the Rfam family "Bacterial large subunit ribosomal RNA", at positions 1487 to 2774 of the family's 2925-position model. Lineage: Bacteria; Pseudomonadati; Pseudomonadota; Gammaproteobacteria; Enterobacterales; Enterobacteriaceae. The record is from RNAcentral.